Molecule: ribosomal RNA, 501 nt
Filed under: uncultured bacterium
Lineage: Bacteria
Description: partial 16S ribosomal RNA
Rfam family: Bacterial small subunit ribosomal RNA
Source: RNAcentral
AUUGAACGCUGGCGGCAGGCUUAACACAUGCAAGUCGAGCGGGGGAAGGUAGCUUGCUACCGGACCUAGCGGCGGACGGGUGAGUAAUGCUUAGGAAUCUGCCUAUUAGUGGGGGACAACAUCUCGAAAGGGAUGCUAAUACCGCAUACGUCCUACGGGAGAAAGCAGGGGAUCUUCGGACCUUGCGCUAAUAGAUGAGCCUAAGUCGGAUUAGCUAGUUGGGGGGGUAAAGGCAGACCAAGGAGACGAUCUGUAGCGGGUCUGAGAGGAUGGUCCGCCGAACUGGGACUGAGACACGGCCCAGACUCCUACGGGAGGCAGCAGUGGGGAAUAUUGGACAAUGGGGGGAACCCUGAUCCAGCCAUGCCGCGUGUGUGAAGAAGGCCUUAUGGUUGUAAAGCACUUUAAGCGAGGAGGAGGCUACUCUAGUUAAUACCUAGGGAUAGUGGACGUUACUCGCAGGAUAAGCACCGGCUAACUCUGUGCCAGCAGCCGCCGUAA